AUUGAACGCUGGCGGCAUGCCUUACACAUGCAAGUCGAACGGCAGCACGGGAGCAAUCCUGGUGGCGAGUGGCGAACGGGUGAGUAAUAUAUCGGAACGUGCCCAGUCGUGGGGAUAACGUAGCGAAAGCUACGCUAAUACCGCAUACGAUCUAUGGAUGAAAGCGGGGGAUCGCAAGACCCCGCGCGAUUGGAGCGGCCGAUAUCAGAUUAGGUAGUUGGUGAGGUAAAGGCUCACCAAGCCGACGAUCUGUAGCUGGUCUGAGAGGACGACCAGCCACACUGGGACUGAGACACGGCCCAGACUCCUACGGGAGGCAGCAGUGGGGAAUAUUGGACAAUGGGCGCAAGCCUGAUCCAGCCAUGCCGCGUGAGUGAUGAAGGCCCUAGGGUUGUAAAGCUCUUUCACCGGUGAAGAUAAUGACGGUAACCGGAGAAGAAGCCCCGGCUAACCUUCGUGCCAGCAGCCGCGGU
This 473-nucleotide ribosomal RNA is filed under the name uncultured bacterium. Its description in RNAcentral is "bacterial SSU rRNA". It matches the Rfam family "Bacterial small subunit ribosomal RNA", at positions 29 to 521 of the family's 1533-position model. The record is from RNAcentral.